This 253-nucleotide ribosomal RNA is filed under the name uncultured bacterium. RNAcentral describes it as "partial 16S ribosomal RNA". It matches the Rfam family "Bacterial small subunit ribosomal RNA", at positions 524 to 776 of the family's 1533-position model. The record is from RNAcentral.
UACAGAGGUCUCAAGCGUUGUUCGGAUUCAUUGGGCGUAAAGGGUGUGUAGGUGGCGCGCUAAGUCGGGUGUGAAAUUUCGGAGCUUAACUCCGAAACUGCAUUCGAUACUGGCGUGCUUGAGGACUGGAGAGGAGACUGGAAUUCAUGGUGUAGCAGUGAAAUGCGUAGAUAUCGGGAGGAAGACCAGUGGCGAAGGCGGAUCUCUGGACAGUUCCUGACGCUGAGGCGCGAAGGCCAGGGGAGCAAACGGG